CCUACGGGGGGCAGCAGUGGGGAAUAUUGCACAAUGGGGGAAACCCUGAUGCAGCGACGCCGCGUGAGUGAAGAAGUAUUUCGGUACGUAAAGCUCUAUCAGCAGGGGAGAAAAUGACGGUACCUGACUAAGAAGCCCCGGCUAACUACGUGCCAGCAGCCGCGGUAAUACGUAGGGGGCAAGCGUUAUCCGGAUUUACUGGGUGUAAAGGGAGCGUAGACGGCAGCGCAAGUCUGGAGUGAAAUCCCAUGGCUUAACCAUGGAACUGCUUUGGAAACUGUGCAGCUAGAGUGCAGGAGAGGUAAGCGGAAUUCCUAGUGUAGCGGUGAAAUGCGUAGAUAUUAGGAGGAACACCAGUGGCGAAGGCGGCUUACUGGACUGUAACUGACGUUGAGGCUCGAAAGCGUGGGGAGCAAACAGGAUUAGAUACCCGAGUAGUU
This 440-nucleotide ribosomal RNA is filed under the name uncultured bacterium. RNAcentral's name for it is "partial 16S ribosomal RNA". It matches the Rfam family "Bacterial small subunit ribosomal RNA", at positions 338 to 795 of the family's 1533-position model. The record is from RNAcentral.